GAAAGAUGUGGGGAUGAUCAAGAAAACUUUUAUAUGGCCUCAGAGUUGAUUAGAGGUUGAUUAUUCACCUUGUUGGGGAGGAUUGGGAGUCACUAGAAAAUGUCCUUAAGUAGUUGAGACUCAGUGAAGUACCUAGAAAUGAAAUGUCAAGAAGCCUGUCAAGACUUACUUGAAGAUAUUUUUAACACAAUAAAAAUACAACUGAAGCAAAUAUGGAUGAAUAUUAACAAUGUCAGAUAUGGGUCAGUACAGUAGAGUUCAGCAUGGUAUCACUUCCUAUGUCCUUUCAUAUCCCUUUGAAAUUUUUCCUAAAACAUUAAAUCACAAACACCUUGCCAUAUAUUUACUAAAGUCUAAAUACUUAAAAUGCAUCCAUAGGAAACAUCCUGCUGCUGGUGAUUAUCUCUGAACAGCAAGAUUUAGGCCCAAAGAAGAAAGGGAAAGUUUUAUUUUUAAAUUCAUGUGUUUUUGUGAUGUGUGUGUAAAAUUCUUGAAUGUUAUUUGGGUAAGAAAGUUAGAAAACAAUGUAUGACAUUACAAGAUUUGGACGUUGUCAGUAAACUGGCAGUGAUUCCGGAAGGCUGACAGGCUUAGAGAAGAGUCUGUUGGUGACAGGAGAUUUUAAUUUUCAUUUCCAUAUUCUAUAUUUGUUUAUAGGUAAUGAGAAAAUUAAAAUGCAAAAUUAAACUAAUGCAUUGUAAUUUAUGAAAGACUUCAGGCCAGGCAAAAAGAUGUAAAAAAAAAAAAAUGUCACCAGACAUUUCAACAAAAUUUAAUAAGCUCAGGUUAAAAAUAACUUACCAUAUAAUUUUAAUGGCUGUAAAGAAUUUCAUCUUCCAAAUGUGCAGUAAAUAAUCCCCAAAGAUAUAUUCAAGUUACUUCCACAGUUAGGGUUACUAACAAUGAACAGUUGCCUACCAUGCAUAACUGUUCCUCUUAGAGUGAUUCCUAAGAAUGGAAUUUCUGAUCCAGAAGACAUGAGAUAACUUUGAUAUUUACUACCAGAAAGUUUGGAAUGAAACUAUUUUCUGCCUCUCAGACUGGCAAAAAAUAGAAAUGAUUAAAAACAUAACUUGCAUGGCGGUGCAUGCCUGGAAUCCCAGCAUUUGGGAGGUUAAGGCAGAAGAAUUACUGUGAGUUUAUAGCCAGCCUGGACUACAUAACAAGACCCUGUCUCAAAAAAAUAAAAAAUAAAAAAUCACAACGGCUAAUAAGAUAUGGAAAGGUUACUUUGUGAGCCUGAAAAAGGUAAGAGACAAUUUCAAGAUAUCAGUCAAAUUUGACAAUAGACAUUCUGAUGUGGCAAGUAGUCUGGUAUGAUGGUUUGUGUUUGAAUGUCCCCCCAAAGCCUCAUGUAGUCAUCGAGGGCAGGCCUUUUAAAGAUGGCUGAAUCUGGCAUUGUGAUUGGUUCAUUGUCUAGUGCUGGGAUUAGUGCUGUGAGUGCUGCAGCCAUCCAGGGGCAGGCAGCUGGUAUACAAUAUAAGGAAGAAAGGAGACAUGCUUUUGCCUUGCCCUUUUGCUCUUUUCUCUUGUGACCCCCAUAAACAGCUGCCCCUUAACCACAUACCCAGCCUUGGAGCCAGCUGAGUAUGGAUAGAAACCUCCCCAAACUGUAAGUUAAAUAAACCUCUCCUUCUCUAACUUAGAGGGUCAAGUAUUUUGUCCCAGGAACAAGAGAAAAGUAAUCAAGACACCUGGGCAGUAUCCUAGGUGUGUUGAGUAGAUACACUCUGACACAAGCACUCAGAAUAAAGUGCAAGGAUGGUGUACCAGGUGAAAUUGUGUCCCUCUCCAAAUAUAUAUAUCCACUAGAACCUCAAACUGUGACCUUAUUUGAAAAUAGGGUCUUCGCAGAUAUAGCAAUUUAAGAUGAGGUCAUUCUAGAUUAUGGUGGGCCAUAAUUCAAGGGCUAGUGUCCUUAAAUAACAAAAAUAAAUAAAUAUGGACCCCUAAAGAGAAAGGGAUGAGAUGACACUCAGAAGACUCCAUCUGUGGUACUUUGGUACAGAAGAUGACAAAAUGAAUAUAGAUUAUCAUAGUGGAAUUGUCCGCAACAGCAAAACAAGGGAAAGAACCUAAGUGUUCAAAGUAGGAGACUGCUCUUAGGGAAACAAGCAAAACACUAUGCAGCGGUAGGCAUUGUCUAAUGAAUGCAAGAUAUGAAACAUCACCUAAGAGACACUAGCAUUUCCAUAGAAGAUGGAACGUAUGCUCGCAGAAUUACAUAGCUUGGAACAGUGAUCUCUGAGGAGAGGAAUGGGGAAGCUGCCCGUCUGUAGCUGAGGGGCUUUCACAGUGUACCCUGGCUGGAUAAGCAUUUCUGCAGUCUCCUUGUAGCUGCUGUGUGUUUAUGAGUAGUUGUUCUGUUUACUUACUUUUUGCUAGUACACGUUUGUAGUCUGCUAUGAUUGUGUGUAUCACUUGGCACUUAUACUGAACACGUGUUAUUUAAAUCGUCCUUUCAUCCCUCACCCUUCCCUGCGCCUUCCAACUUUUGAGCUGUCAUUCUUCACUGCCUACUUUUUCUUGGAGUGGCACAGGUCCCUGUGAUUUGACUUGUAUCAUUGUCUUAGAGAGUUCAAGAUGUUUAUAACAUAAAAAAAUAUUUCCCUUUGUAUUACUGAAUUUGAAAAGUGGCAAAGGCUCACGUUAAAAAUGUAGUGAAGUGUGUAUGAUGCAGAGCACACGUGUGUGCAGAUCAGAUGAGGUCUGUUCAUUGCCGCUGGCUGAGACAGCCUCAUGUCUUUGUAAUACAUCCCCUCCCACUUCGUCUCUUCUUGGCAGUUUUUUCUCUGUUGGGUUUCCCAGUUUGAUGCUGAUCACGUCUAUUGGUGGUCACUUGUCCUGUGCAUUUCCUCUAGGUUGCUAUUAAAAUAGGAAAGGCAGUAUGUUUUUAUUUUGAUUUAUCUAUUUUUUGCAGCCCUUUCUGCAAAACAGGGUUAUGUAAACAGGGUUAUGUUCUUUCAUCAGAAGUCCUGUAAUAUGCAGCCAUCUGUUUUUAAAUGUACGGAGCCAGGAAUGACCAUUUUUAGACGUAUUCAUUCAUCAGAAUUGGCACAUUACAGGCAGUAAUGAUUUUAAUGAAAUCUGCCCACACGACUGCUUUUUGUUGAAUGCCAGCCAGAGUAUGUAUCUGUCCCUGGCCAAGUUUCAUCAAGGUGAUAGCUGAGGUUUCUUUUGACCCCAUCCAGAGUAACUGACCAUUAGAGGUCCUGAUUCAUACACCGGGAACCUCAGAGACAGAGGAGCCGGGUCCUGCACAGGUGCUGCUCUGGCUGGAGCCUGGCCAUGAGCUCACCUUGGCCUCCAGCCCAGAGCUGUCCGCAGAGCCCACGGGGGACUUCCUUCCUCCCUUUCCAGAUGGGCCUGAACCUACCCUUGCUGUCGCUGGCCCUGUUAAUUCUGGUUUUCAUUUCUGCAGGUCAGGCUGGAUUUUUGAAGAAGCCUGAAGACUUACUGUCAAUGGUGGAAAAGCUGCAGAAAGAGGGGACCCUGGAGCCACAGAUCGAGGAUCUCAUUCACCGGAUCUACAAGCUUCAGCAAGCAAAGAAGAAAUCCGGCGAGGAACUGGGAGAGACGCAAGCUCUCUGGGAGGCCCUGAAUAGGGAAUUGGAUUCCUUGAAUGGAGAGAACCUGCACCUAGAGGAGGUCUUGAACAAAAAGCAAGGUAGGCACCUGCUGCCGUGUCUUCUCAUCCCACCCCUGCUCCACCAACCCCCAUUCUCCAGAAGAGCUGGAGGAGCCUCACUGAGUCCUGGGCUCGGAUGCCCCCUCUGCUCAGAUCUCUGUCUUAGUGGCCUCCUCGCAUCCCGAGUCCUGGGUGCCCCCUGCGACUUGGGGCCCCUUCCCUCUGCCCACACUCCCCUCCCCAGGCAGGGCCAUCAGCUUCCUCUCUCCUCAGAGGCACUGAGGAUCCUCCAGCAGCAUCGCCAGGCCCAAGAAAGUGGGGCUCCGAGGUCGGCUGCAGAAGAGCAGCUGAAGGAUCCGGUGGCCCGGCACAAGGCCCUCUGGGAGUUCCGUGUGAGCCACUGCCGUCGCCCUCCACGAAGCCUCUUCUGACCUCAGUGUCUUUGCUGACUGCCCGGUGCCCUGGCCUGCUCAGACCCAAGGCCACGGGACGGUUCCUGACUCCUGUGCCCCUGUCCCCUCGUACCUUCAGUCGGCCCACUCUGCAUCACGCCCCACUGCUACUACAUCGCAGUCGCAUGGCAAAGCCGGCUUCCCUGGUGUCCUACAGAGGUCACCUGACAGUGGCGAGCGGGAGCCCCUAGAGAGCCUUGGUUCCCUGUGGUGGCAUUGGGCCAUUCCUGGCAGGGCAGGGCAGGGCGAGGCAGCCUUCUCCCCCAGGCUGGAAGGGGGAGGCUAGCUUGGGACAGACUCUACCAGGAAAAUAAGAGAGCGCGUCAUUUCGGGAGCAAACGAGACAGAGAGAGAGGUGCAGCUGUGUGGGUGAAGCCGUGCAGGUGUGUGGGUUCAGAGGCUCCUGGCAGGAGAGAAGGUGGAUGCAAUGCAGGGCCCCAGCUGACCUCUGCUUGGCGCAUUUUCAGAACGGCCAGCAGGGGGCGCGGGAGGUGGGGAGCGUGAGCCUAAAUGAAGUUUGAGUACCCGGAGGGAGAGAUGCAAUGAGCGACUGGGUGAACUGGGGCUCGGGCCACUGCAGAACCCGCGCACUUAGUUCAUAUUUGAAUGAAUGAGUGACCCAAAGAAGGGAGCCUGGUGCGCGCGCGGCUGCAGGAGGUGGAGCAGCGGCUGCGCCCGGCGCCCGAGCUCGGGGGCGCCCCGGCAGCGACAGGCGGUCCGGAAGCGGAGAUCCAGAGCUUGGAGAGACGGUCCCGGAGCGCCCCA
Cavia porcellus (domestic guinea pig) is the source of this 4845-nucleotide RNA transcript. It is a transcript of the gene named synaptonemal complex central element protein 1 like, with no coding region annotated. NCBI's taxonomy places the organism in Eukaryota, Metazoa, Chordata, Mammalia, Rodentia, Caviidae. The record is from RefSeq and is a predicted model, not a curated record. The transcript is spliced from 7 exons.